CAUGGAGAAUUUCUUAGACAACUAAGCUUUGAUCAAGAUCAAUAUGGAAAUAUCAUUUUCAAUAAAGAGGAUAUCAUCCACGUACGGUAUGAGGAAGCGUGCUCCCAUUGAUUUUUUUGUAAACAUAAGAUUUUUAUUUAUUUUUGAUGAAACUAAAUGAUUUGAUCGUAUCAUUGAAAUGAAAAUUCUAGCUUCGAGAAGCUUGUUUUAGUCCAUAGAUGA
This 222-nucleotide long non-coding RNA is filed under the name Elaeis guineensis (African oil palm). RNAcentral describes it as "long non-coding RNA (EGUI_LNC060306)". Lineage: Eukaryota; Viridiplantae; Streptophyta; Magnoliopsida; Arecales; Arecaceae. The record is from RNAcentral.